RNAcentral lists this ribosomal RNA (492 nucleotides) under uncultured bacterium. RNAcentral's name for it is "partial 16S ribosomal RNA". It matches the Rfam family "Bacterial small subunit ribosomal RNA", at positions 29 to 507 of the family's 1533-position model. The record is from RNAcentral.
AGUGAACGCUGGCGGUAGGCCUAACACAUGCAAGUCGAACGGCAGCACAGUAAGAGCUCGCCCUUACGGGUGGCGAGUGGCGGACGGGUGACGAAUACAUCGGAAUCUGCUUUUUCGUGGGGGAUAACGUAGGGAAACUUACGCUAACACCGCAUACGACCUACCGGUGAAAGCAGGGGAUCUUCGGACCUUGCCCGAUUCAAUGAGCCGAUGUCGGAUUAGCUAGUUGGCGGGGUAAAGGCCCACCAAGGCGACGAUCCGUAGCUGGUCUGAGAGGAUGAUCAGCCACACUGGAACUGAGACACGGUCCAGACUCCUACGGGAGGCAGCAGUGGGGAAUAUUGGACAAUGGGCGCAAGCCUGAUCCAGCCAUACCGCGUGGGUGAAGAAGGCCUUCGGGUUGUAAAGCCCUUUUGUUGGGAAAGAAAAGCAGCAGGUUAAUACCCCGCUGUUCUGACGGUACCCAAAGAAUAAGCACCGGCUAACUUCGUG